AGCGAACGCUGGCGGCAGGCUUAACACAUGCAAGUCGAGCGCCCAGCGAGGGGAGCGGCAGACGGGUGAGUAACAGGUGGGAGCGUAGUCUUUGGUUCGGAACAACCCAGGGAGACUUGGGCAACUACCGGAAACGAACGCGAGGACCACGUUGUAUCGCCUAAGACAAGGCUCGCGUCUGAAUAGUGAGUUGGCUUGGUAACGGCGCGAUGAGGCGACGAGUAGUAGCUGGUGUGAGAGGACGACCCACCAUACUGGGACUGAGACACGGCCCAGACUCCUACGGGAGGCAGCAGUGGGGAACAUUGAACAAUGGGGGCAUGCCUAAUCCUUUCGUGCCGCAAGAGUGAGUUAGUCCCGAAGGUUGUAAAGCACUGUCGGUGGGGAAGAUAAUGACGGUACCCACAGAAAAAGCCACGGCUAACUUCGUG
RNAcentral lists this ribosomal RNA (431 nucleotides) under uncultured bacterium. Its description in RNAcentral is "partial 16S ribosomal RNA". It matches the Rfam family "Bacterial small subunit ribosomal RNA", at positions 29 to 507 of the family's 1533-position model. The record is from RNAcentral.